RNAcentral lists this ribosomal RNA (388 nucleotides) under uncultured bacterium. RNAcentral's name for it is "bacterial SSU rRNA". It matches the Rfam family "Bacterial small subunit ribosomal RNA", at positions 29 to 418 of the family's 1533-position model. The record is from RNAcentral.
AUUAAACGCUGGCGGCAUGCCUUACACAUGCAAGUCGAACGGCAGCACGGGGGGAACCCUGGUGGCGAGUGGCGAACGGGUGAGUAAAGCAUCGGAACGUGCCCUGGAGUGGGGGAUAACGUAGCGAAAGUUACGCUAAUACCGCAUAUUCUGUGAGCAGGAAAGCAGGGGAUCGCAAGACCUUGCGCUCUGGGAGCGGCCGAUGUCGGAUUAGCUAGUUGGUGGGGUAAAGGCCUACCAAGGCGACGAUCCGUAGCGGGUCUGAGAGGAUGAUCCGCCACACUGGGACUGAGACACGGCCCAGACUCCUACGGGAGGCAGCAGUGGGGAAUUUUGGACAAUGGGCGAAAGCCUGAUCCAGCCAUGCCGCGUGAGUGAAGAAGGCCUU